GCAGCGCGGAUUGGUGGGCUCUGCUCGAGCAGCCUUGCAGACCACCUUUGGGUGCACGAGCUCUGUGCAAUACUCCUGCAAUGACUUCUUUUUACCAGUGAUGAAAGAAGACUUUGCGCGGGUUUUAGGUUCGUGUUGAGCUCCUCAUCACACCUGUUUCUACAUCCCAUGAAGAAGAGCUUGAACGUGUUGCUGUGCAAAAGGACAUGAACAUGGUCCAAAAGUGGAUGCAGACACUUGUUUUACUGUUCUUUUGUCAAGAAACUCUCCAACGGAAUUAUCUAACAGAGAAAAGGGAUGGUGACCAUGCACCUUGCUUGGCCAGCCCCUAUGACAACAACAACCACAAUGACUGCACCAAUGACCACAACCAUAGAGCUAACCAGCUCUACAACUGCCAAGUCGUGCAAAGUGGGAAAGGUGGAACCUAGUGCUCCUGUGAUUUGAUUGUUUGGGCCCCAUUUGGCUGCUGGCUGUGGCCUCCUCUUCAACAUCACCGUAUCCCAUUGCAACCCUGAGUCCUGCAUUCACUCACCAAUAUAGCCCCAUGUACCCAUGAAACACACACCCACCAAACAAAACAAGAGUAUUGAACCAACUGAUGUAAAUAUGCUGCCUUCAUUUUUCUGUUAGAAUGUACACUCUAUGACCAAAAGAAUGUGGACAGCUGCUCGUUGAACAUCUCAUUCCAAAAUCAUGGGGAUUAAUAUGGAGUCGGUCCCCCUCUUUGCUGCUACUCUUCUGGGAAAGCUUUCCGCUAGAUGUUGGAACAUUGCUGCAGGCACUUGCUUCCAUUCAGCCACAAGAGCCUUAGUGAGCUCAUGCAUUGAUGUUGUGCGAUUAGGCCUGGCUGUAGCGUUAAGAUUUCCCUUCACUGGAACUAAGGGGCCUAGUCCGAACCAUGAAAAACAGCCCCAGAUAAUAAUUUCUCCAACACCAAACAUUACAGUUGGCACUAUGCAUUGGGGCAGGUAGCGUUCUCCUGGCAUCUGCCAAACCCAGUUUAGUCCGGUGGACUGCCAGAUGAUAAACGAUAUUCAUGCGUUUCCACUGCUCCAAAGUCCAGCGGUGGCGGCGAGCUUUCAUAUAAUUUCCACCACUCCAGCCGAAAUCCAUUUUUGGAAGCUCCCCACGAACAUGUAUUGUGCCGACGUUGCUUCCAGAGGCCGUUUGGAACUUGGUAGUGAGUUUAGCAGAAAUGCAACACUCACAGAAGUGUUGCAGAAAUGUGACAAACUUAUUUUGGAAAGGUGGCAUCCGAUGACAAUGCCACGGUGAAAGUCACUGAGCUCUUAACGCCAUUCUACUGCCAAUGUUGGUCAAAUGAGAUUGCAUGGCUAUACACCUGUCAUCAACGGGUGUGGCUGAAAUAGCCAAAUCCACUCAUUUGAAGGGGUGUUCACAUACCUUUGUAUAUAUAGUGUAUUAACAUUUUCAUAUACAUUUCCAUAUUUCCAUUUUAAAUGAAUUAUAAAAAAUAUUAAAUCAAUAUUUUUAUUUGUUCAUUUAAAACGUUACAAUUAUUUUCAUUUAGAACGAAGCAAUGCCCACAUUACAAAAGACAGGACAUUUUCCUUCUUUAAUAUGUCAAACAUGAGUCCUGUAAUGAUGUAUGCAGCCUAGAAAAUUAGUAGUUGAAAAAAGAGAAGGUCCACACUUUUGGGAGUUUUCUCCCCUAAAAGUCCAACUGAGUUUGUGAUUAGAGACGACAAGUUUCUCUUAUUUUUCUCUUGUAUUCAGGCCGAGAAUGGCAACAACAUCCUAUAGCCAAUAACAGACUUUUCUAAUCCUGGUUAGUGUUUAUUAUAAAGUAAUUACAAGACAGCCCAACCCCCCCAUUGUUUGAGUGGUUACAUUUUAUUUUUAAAUAACAAUUGAGCAUAUGACAUUCACAAUGUCGUUAGUGAUGCUUAUAACACAGGUGAUUUAUGUAGCUUACUACGUUUGUCUAUUCUUCUCACAGACAGAGAGACGGAAGACGGUGCGACGUCUCUACUAUCAACCAUUUAGUUUGUUCUAUUACAUACAUUUUUACUGAGACAUUUGUUCCGUAACACCAUUGAAAUAGUAGAAUUCUCGCUCUCUUCAUUUAAUCAACAUAAUAGCUUUAUGGCAGGUUUGUGUAGAUGUUUCAUGUCGUCACUCAGUCUGACGAGAUAUGUAUUGCUUAUAGCUUAGUUUAAAAUGAUGUUAUGAGAUACUUUUCUCCUUCUCCUGGCCUGUAAAUUAAACCAAAGACAAAAGCUCUGCAGUGAAACUUCAAUAAAACCAAGGUAACAUUUUCUAACUCAAAUUGUUGGAAUUCUUCCUGAUACUCAUAUUUACUUUCUUCCUAGACGUCUAUGAAUGUUUGGUAGAAAUGUGCCAUAUAAAGCAAUAUUUUGGAAUACUUGAA
This is a long non-coding RNA of Oncorhynchus masou masou (cherry salmon), 2395 nucleotides long. RefSeq lists it as uncharacterized. The transcript is spliced from 4 exons. The record is from RefSeq and is a predicted model, not a curated record. Lineage: Eukaryota; Metazoa; Chordata; Actinopteri; Salmoniformes; Salmonidae.